RNAcentral lists this ribosomal RNA (253 nucleotides) under uncultured bacterium. RNAcentral's name for it is "partial 16S ribosomal RNA". It matches the Rfam family "Bacterial small subunit ribosomal RNA", at positions 524 to 776 of the family's 1533-position model. The record is from RNAcentral.
UACAGAGGCUGCGAGCGUUAUUCGGAUUCACUGGGCGUAAAGGGUGCGCAGGCGGCCGAGUGUGUGAGGCGUGAAAGCCCGUGGCUUAACCCCGGAAUUGCACCUCAAACGACACGGCUAGAGCAUUGGAGAGGGUAGCAGAAUUCAUGGUGUAGCAGUGAAAUGCGUAGAUAUCAUGAGGAAUACCAGAGGCGAAGGCGGCUACCUGGACAAUUGCUGACGCUCAGGCACGAAAGCGUGGGGAGCAAAAGGA